AUUGAACGCUGGCGGCAGGCUUAACACAUGCAAGUCGAGCGGGGGAAGGUAGCUUGCUACCGGACCUAGCGGCGGACGGGUGAGUAAUGCUUAGGAAUCUGCCUAUUAGUGGGGGACAACAUCUCGAAAGGGAUGCUAAUACCGCAUACGUCCUACGGGAGAAAGCAGGGGAUCUUCGGACCUUGCGCUAAUAGAUGAGCCUAAGUCGGACUAGCUAGUUGGUGGGGUAAAGGCCUACCAAGGCGACGAUCUGUAGCGGGUCUGAGAGGAUGAGCCGCCACACUGGGACUGAGACACGGCCCAGACUCCUACGGGAGGCAGCAGUGGGGAAUAUUGGACAAUGGGGGGAACCCUGAUCCAGCCAUGCCGCGUGUGUGAAGAAGGCCUUAUGGUUGUAAAGCACUUUAAGCGAGGAGGAGGCUACUCUAGUUAAUACCUAGGGAUAGUGGACGUUACUCGCAGAAUAAGCACCGGCUAACUCUGUGCCAGCAGCCGCGGUAA
RNAcentral lists this ribosomal RNA (501 nucleotides) under uncultured bacterium. Its description in RNAcentral is "partial 16S ribosomal RNA". It matches the Rfam family "Bacterial small subunit ribosomal RNA", at positions 30 to 523 of the family's 1533-position model. The record is from RNAcentral.